Molecule: unclassified non-coding RNA, 226 nt
Filed under: air metagenome
Description: partial contains small subunit ribosomal RNA, internal transcribed spacer 1, and 5.8S ribosomal RNA
Rfam family: Eukaryotic small subunit ribosomal RNA (bases 1-46)
Source: RNAcentral
AAGUCGUAACAAGGUCUCCGUAGGUGAACCUGCUGAGGGAUCAUUACCGAGAGAGGGCUGUGCGCCCGACCUCCCACCAUUGGUACGCCCGUCUCUAGCCUCGGGGUGACCCGGCCCCUUGUCGGGCCGCGGGCCCCCGGGGUCACCCGACCUGACCCUGUCUUUGAUGUCAUGAGGGAGAAUAUUCAAUUUAGUAAAACUUUCAACAACGGAUCUCUUGGUUCUG